This is a long non-coding RNA of Mytilus trossulus (common blue mussel), 463 nucleotides long. RefSeq lists it as uncharacterized. Lineage: Eukaryota; Metazoa; Mollusca; Bivalvia; Mytilida; Mytilidae. The transcript is spliced from 3 exons. The record is from RefSeq and is a predicted model, not a curated record.
CCCAACACUGGUCAGAUUCAAAAUUUGAACUUGCAGACAUUACAAGAAAAGAUGUCUUAUUCAUCUGACAUCUUGACCAAAAUAUGAAUUUUACCAUGGAUGUAGAGUUGUGGCCUAAAAAGAGCCAAAGUAUUCUAUUAACAUUAAAAGUGCAGAUGUAUUAUUCUGAUGACAUAUGACUAUUGGAUUUGUGAAGAUUGAUGUUUUCAUAUAUAUUGGAUUAAAUCUUCUGAAGUGCCUGGUGAAACAAAAGAAAAAUGUUUUCUGAUAGGACUGAAGAAUGGACACAUUCAAUCAGACUUGGAGCAUCAUACAAAAGAAAUGGAAAGUUGUCCACCAGGUCAUCAACCAUCUGCCGAAGCCAAGUAAGAAACACAAGACAAGAUAGACCACAUACAGCAAUAAUGAACUUUGAACAUUUCCAAAAUGUUUAACUUUACAUUAAAACAUAGUCUAAUUUUAA